Molecule: ribosomal RNA, 216 nt
Filed under: Glomeromycotina sp.
Lineage: Eukaryota; Fungi; Glomeromycota
Description: partial small subunit ribosomal RNA
Rfam family: Eukaryotic small subunit ribosomal RNA (bases 40-216)
Source: RNAcentral
GGGUCAGUAGGUUGGUCGUGCCACCGGUACGUACUGGUCUCACUGAUUCCUCCUUCCUGAAGAACCGUAAUGCCAUUAAUUUGGUGUUGCGGGGAAACAGGACUGUUACUUUGAAAAAAUUAGAGUGUUUAAAGCAAGCUAACGCUUGAAUACAUUAGCAUGGAAUAAUGAAAUAGGACGAUCGAUCCUAUUUUGUUAGUUUCUAUGAUUGACGUA